CCUACGGGAGGCAGCAGUGAGGAAUAUUGGUCAAUGGGCGGAAGCCUGAACCAGCCAAGUAGCGUGCAGGAUGACGGCCCUACGGGUUGUAAACUGCUUUUAUACGGGAAUAACGCGCCGUACGUGUAGGGCUUUGCAUGUACCGUAUGAAUAAGGACCGGCUUAUUCCGUGCCAGCAGCCGCGGUAAUACGGAAGGUCCGGGCGUUAUCCGGAUUUAUUGGGUUGAAAGGGAGCGUAGGCCGCAUGUCAAGCGUGCUGGGAAAUGUCCGGGCGCACCCCGGGCCUUGCAGCGCGAACUGGCGUGCUUGAUUCCGCGGCCAGCAGGCGGACUUCGUCGUGUAGCGGUGAAAUGCUUAGAUAUUACG
This 366-nucleotide ribosomal RNA is filed under the name uncultured bacterium. RNAcentral describes it as "partial 16S ribosomal RNA". It matches the Rfam family "Bacterial small subunit ribosomal RNA", at positions 338 to 701 of the family's 1533-position model. The record is from RNAcentral.